ACCUGGCUGGCUCAGUUCACAGAGCACAUGACUGUUAAUCUUGGAGUUAGGAGUUCAAACCCCAUGUGGGGUA
RNAcentral lists this transfer RNA (73 nucleotides) under Ailuropoda melanoleuca (giant panda). It matches the Rfam family "tRNA". Rfam says of the family: Transfer RNA (tRNA) molecules are approximately 80 nucleotides in length. Their secondary structure includes four short double-helical elements and three loops (D, anti-codon, and T loops). The record is from Rfam by way of RNAcentral. Lineage: Eukaryota; Metazoa; Chordata; Mammalia; Carnivora; Ursidae.